AUGUUGUUUUUAAACCCAUGAAAUUUGAUUGAAUUAUGUGAAUGAUGAAAAUUUUGUUGUUGUUAAAUUCAUAAAAUUUGAUUGAAUUGUGUGAAUGAUGAAAAUGUUGAUGUUAAACCAAUGAAAUUUGAUAGAAUUGUGUGAACAUUGAAAAUGUUGUUGUUGUUGAACCCAUGAAAUUUGAUUGAAUUGUAUGAAUGAUGAAAAUGUUGUUGUUGUUAAACCCAUGAAAUUUGAUUGAAUUGUGUGAAUGAUGAAAAUGUUGUUGUUAAACUCAUAAAAUUUGAUUGAAUUGUAUGAAUGAUGAAAAUGUUGUCGUUAAAGCCGUGAAAUUUGAUUGAAUUCUGUAAGGACGAAAAUGUUAUUUUUAAACCGAUAGAAUUUGAUUGAAUUAUGUGAAUGAUAAAAAUGUUGUUGUUGAACCCAUGAAAUUUGAUUGAAUUUUAUGAAUGAUGAAAAUGUUGUUGUUGUUAAACCCAUGAAAUUUCAUUGAAUUGUGUGAAUGAUGAAAAUGUUGUUACUAAACUCAUAAAAUUUGAUUGAAUUGUAUGAAUGAUGAAAAUGUUAUCGUUAAACCGUGAAAUUUGAUUGAAUUCUGAAAAGGAUGAAAAUGUUAUUUUUAAACCGAUAGAAUUUGAUUGAAUUAUGUGAAUGAUAAAAAUGUUGUUGUUAAACCCAUGAAAUUUGAUUGAAUUGUGGGAAUGAUUAAAAUGUUCCUGUUAAACCCAUGGAAUUUGAUUGAAUUUUGUGAAU
This 753-nucleotide long non-coding RNA is filed under the name Lathyrus oleraceus (garden pea). RNAcentral describes it as "Pisum sativum (pea) long non-coding RNA (PSAT_LNC040820)". Lineage: Eukaryota; Viridiplantae; Streptophyta; Magnoliopsida; Fabales; Fabaceae. The record is from RNAcentral.